AAAUUCUUCUAAAACAAUACCAACAUAACGGCAUAAAUUUCUAAAGUUCAAGAUUAUCGAACUACCAAAAUCAGGCGUGCAUGUAGGAACAUCAGGACCUCCAAUAUCAUUAUAAGGCCUAACGUAAAAAAAAAUAAAAAAAAAUAAUAGGAACACAACUUAGUAGCUUUCCAAAGACAAACAGAAAAGAUAGAUGUAAAACAAAAGCAAUUCUCAUAUCAUAUCCAACCGUUUCAUUUCCUAAUCUUUUGCAGCAUAACAAAAAACCAAAGCA
RNAcentral lists this long non-coding RNA (274 nucleotides) under Salvia miltiorrhiza (redroot sage). RNAcentral describes it as "long non-coding RNA (SMIL_LNC012700)". The record is from RNAcentral. Lineage: Eukaryota; Viridiplantae; Streptophyta; Magnoliopsida; Lamiales; Lamiaceae.